This is a long non-coding RNA of Struthio camelus australis, 2531 nucleotides long. Ensembl lists it as uncharacterized. Lineage: Eukaryota; Metazoa; Chordata; Aves; Struthioniformes; Struthionidae. The record is from Ensembl.
GUGCUGUGUGAGGCACCCAGGGAGGUGGGUCCCCAGGGCAGGAGGGACAAGUCCCAGGAGAGCUUUAAGCACCCCGCUGAAUAUUUGGAGUUGGCUGCUGCACUGCACAGAGCAUUUGGAGGAUUUAAGCCGGGCCCAGGGGCAGAAUGACUAUUAUUUUGGAUUAGUGGGAUGUUGCUUUGAAUAUUAGCCUCCUUAAAGGGAAUAACUCUGCGGUGGCCAGAAUUGCGGAAGCCCAAAUACCCACAAGCCUCUAUUUUAAGGCACUAACGAAUCACUAGAGCCAGGCAGGGGGAGACUUGAGUGGCAGAGAAGGCACCUGCCUCCCCCAGCACGGCACAGCGGGUUAAGGGGAGAGCCAAAGCACCGUCAGGCCGGAGUAUCCAUGGGGCCACCCUUGGCCUCCCCUUGGCUUUUCGGAGCUCGCUCGAAACCCUCGGUUUGCACGGUGGCUGCCUUUGCGACUCGCCAACCCCGAUGUCACAGAGCAGCCGACCGGCCCGGGGAAGCAGGGUCCCCCACCAGAGUUGGUUGUGAUUUCUGCCCUUCACCUGCAGCCGGGACUCCCCGUCGCCCUGCGUGCUGGGGGAGGCUUCAUCGAACUGAGAACUGGACAAGAGGUCACUUUCUGGGCAGCCCGACGCACACAAGAGCCCGAAUCCCUGUGGAUCCCACAACACGACUGAGCGCGAUCCUCCCCGUUUCGCUAGCCCCAGGUGCGAUGGAGGUGGAAGAGGUCUUCUUCCAGCUCUGCGAGGAGGUUGCCAGGCUGCAGGAGCUGUGUGUGAAGCAGGGCAAACUCCUCCGGAAGCUGACUGCAAGGAAGGGACCUGUCCUUGAUAUCCCCGUGUCACUGCCAAUCCAGUGCACGGAGGAUAUGGUAACGGAAGAAGCGGAAAAACCCUCGGAGAGCCAAAGGGAAUGCUCUGAGGCCCCGACGUCUGCCGCAACUGGCCCCAGCUCUGCCCAUCCACUGGCACAGCCCCACGCUGGCGUCGCGCUGCCCGCCUGUGACAUCACGGACCCCCCGAGCACCGAAAAUGCCUGCGUAUUAAGCAAUGGGAACGGGAAAGCAGCCCUUGCCAUGGCUUUUGGCAGCCAGCACUGCAGUAAGGCGGAGAGGAGCGAGAAGGGGGAUUUAGACACGUGGCUGAAAAAUUAUAGGAUGCUUCCUACCGCAAAAGCCGGCAAGGAAGAAGCGAGGGCUUGCUGUAACCUGCCAGAGUUUGCAGCGCCCAACCCAGAGGCCAUCGACUCCUUCCUGGACCUGUACGAAGCCCCACAAGACCUUCAGAGUGAAGACGCAUCCGGUGAAAGCGCUCUGCCAGCUGCGACUCAUGUUCCUGUAGAAAUCCGAGGACCUGUGAAGACGUCCUGGAUGCCAGCAUGGAUGCUGGAGGAGAGCCUUGGGCAAGGCACUGUCCUCACCUCGGAGGCCAUGCGAACUUGUGACUUUUGCCAGGCUAUUUUCCCUUCGGACGCAACAACCCAAGCAGACUAUUUGAAGCACCUCUUAGCCCAUAUGAAAUAGGACUCAAGCUUCGAACUCAUAAAUCUCUGUAUUUGCACUUCAGCUAACACCACGUGCCCUGGGAUCCCUUCAUGUGAUCCUGCUGCUGGCUUUGACUGGGGUCUCUCAGCUCAGGUAGCGAUCCUCUUCCAUUUAAUUUGGUGUGCCGCAACCCCGGUCCCUGUUGCAAUGUUUGAUGGGCCAUAUUAGGGCUCUUAAUAUGCCUUGGUUUGCUGAGCUUCGUGAAUGUCAACCAGCUUCUGUCCCGGGGUUUGGACAUGUGUGGGGCUGUGUGCAGGCUGAGGGGAACUUUAGCUCAAUGGGAAAUGGAAAAAUUUCCAAAUUCUCCUAAACCAGAAGAAGUUAAAACAAGUUUUCCAUAAUGACAUAGGGAUAUUUGAAGAGCCACGUUGGCUUUUUCCAAAAACAUGGAAGAUCUGGUGAGAGGCUGAGAGACUCACAACAGUUUUUAAUGUCACUAAAUCCAAAUUUGCCUAUGGAGCAGAGCCCCAGCCCCGGUGCUGUGAGCGUGAAAUGCCGCCCGCCUGCGGCAAGGGGGACCGACAUGAACCGCAUUUAACUUCCAAGUGUGUUGGCAGGGGAAGGGCGUAACUGAGGGCUCUUCUUCCUCCUCAUUAAAACCUCAUCAGCUCCGGCUCAGUGGCUUGUGCAAGUUUAAUUGAUCCCUCUCCAGGUGGGAGGAGGCUUAUCUGCUCCGGGCCGCGUGGGGUCCGUGCUCCCAGCCUGGGGCCUUCUGUGUUUACAGAGCGACGGAGCGGAAACGAGCACCACCAAGCCUGGCUCCUCCAGCGCAGGGACGUGACCGCCACGCGUGUUAUUAUCCUGCCUUUCUGUUUAGUCUCUUGGGGAAAAUAUCUUUCGGGGAGCCGGUGGGUUGAUACGACUGUCGGAUUCGGGGGAAACAGCUUCUGUUCCUGGGUCUGAUCCUUUGCCUGAGGAUAAAACCUUGCUGAGCAGCAAUUUGCCGUGGAGCAUGUUCACCUGCAAGGUUUCGAUCUUG